RNAcentral lists this ribosomal RNA (234 nucleotides) under uncultured bacterium. Its description in RNAcentral is "partial 16S ribosomal RNA". It matches the Rfam family "Bacterial small subunit ribosomal RNA", at positions 118 to 351 of the family's 1533-position model. The record is from RNAcentral.
UGGGUAACCUGCCCUUAACUCUGGGAUAAGCCUGGGAAACUGGGUCUAAUACCGGAUAUGACUCCUCAUCGCAUGGUGGGGGGUGGAAAGCUUUAUUGUGGUUUUGGAUGGACUCGCGGCCUAUCAGCUUGUUGGUGAGGUAAUGGCUCACCAAGGCGACGACGGGUAGCCGGCCUGAGAGGGCGAUCGGCCACACUGGGACUGAGACACGGCCCAGACUCCUACGGGAGGCAG